UACGUAGGGUGCAAGCGUUGUCCGGAAUUAUUGGGCGUAAAGAGUUCGUAGGCGGCUUGUCGCGUCCGUUGUGAAAGCCUGGGGCUCAACCCCAGGUCUGCAGUGGAUACGGGCAGGCUAGAGUCAGGUAGGGGAGAACGGAAUUCCUGGUGUAGCGGUGAAAUGCGCAGAUAUCAGGAGGAACACCGGUGGCGAAGGCGGCAUCCUGGACCGGUAUUGACGCUGAGGCGCGAAAGCUAGGGGAGCAAACGGG
RNAcentral lists this ribosomal RNA (253 nucleotides) under uncultured bacterium. RNAcentral describes it as "partial 16S ribosomal RNA". It matches the Rfam family "Bacterial small subunit ribosomal RNA", at positions 524 to 776 of the family's 1533-position model. The record is from RNAcentral.